Molecule: ribosomal RNA, 407 nt
Filed under: uncultured bacterium
Lineage: Bacteria
Description: bacterial SSU rRNA
Rfam family: Bacterial small subunit ribosomal RNA
Source: RNAcentral
GGGGAAUCUUGCGCAAUGGGCGAAAGCCUGACGCAGCAACGCCGCGUGGGGGAUGACGGCCUUCGGGUUGUAAACCUCUUUCGACAUCGACGAAGCCUUCGGGUGACGGUAGGUGUAGAAGAAGCACCGGCUAACUACGUGCCAGCAGCCGCGGUAAUACGUAGGGUGCGAGCGUUGUCCGGAAUUAUUGGGCGUAAAGAGCUCGUAGGCGGUUUGUCGCGUCGGCCGUGAAAACCUGCCGCUUAACGGUGGGCGUGCGGUCGAUACGGGCAGACUUGAGUUCGGUAGGGGAGACUGGAAUUCCUGGUGUAGCGGUGAAAUGCGCAGAUAUCAGGAGGAACACCGGUGGCGAAGGCGGGUCUCUGGGCCGAUACUGACGCUGAGGAGCGAAAGCGUGGGGAGCGAAC